AUGUAGGGCCAGGCCAUGACGUCACUUGUCGUUGACCAAUCAGGACGCUCUCUACCGCGCUGUUUCUGGCAAGGUCCAUGGUUUCUGACCCAGAAGAAAUGGCUCUAACGCAACAACCGCCGUAUCUCAAUGGAAAAAAAAACUCUAUGCUGGUUCGUAUUUAAAAUGGAAGUGACCGAAUGGGUACAGCAAAGCCUUUAUAUAUAUAUCGACGCCGUUAGCAGGGCUGUCCAACUGACUAAAAAAAUAUAUUUCAGAUAAAAAAACGGCUACGAAAAUCAUAUCAACUGGAGCUCUCAAGCGCCUCGUCAGAGGCUCUUUAGAAUUCCCAAUACGCUCCUUCAGAAGAUAUUUCACGACUUAUCACAAUUACGUGUCUGAUUUCUACGGAGAAUCUGAUUGGAUGUCAUUGUCUAGAACCGGACUGAAUGAAAUACUCUUCGCUUCGAUGGCUGGUUGUUGCAAGGAAUCUUUUUAUUGUUUGAACCGCGUCUUGGGAGUGGAAGUUCCAGUUCCUGGAGUCGAAUUUUCAUAGUUUGAAUCACGUCUUGGGAGUGGAAGUUCCAGUUCCUGGUUCAUGGAGUGUAGCACCGAGGACGAGAACCGUUCUGAACUAUGAAUGCAGCACCGUGGACAUGUACGGAUUUCAAUCCUACAAGACUGCAGCACCGAGGAUGAGAAUGGGGUUAGCUCCUCACCGGGCGGUCGUGGAAGAAACAUGGCAGGGAUAAUUUUAACGUAGUUGUAGCUAGUUCUGAUUAUGUGUUAUUUGUAUUCUUAAAGGGAGAGGGUUUAUUAUAUAAAUUUGUUUAGCAUAUUUUUCGUCGUCUCUUAAACUGCUUGGCAGACGUUCUCUAAAUUGGCUAACAUAAACGGUAUCAAAUUGUUUUAUAGUGAAAGGUUGUACAAAUUUAUGAAGCUGAUUUCUGUAAUGUUUAUUUGUAGUAUAUAAACAGUACAAGUUUUGGCAUCCGUUCUCCGAGUUGGCUCAUUUGCCAUCUACAUGAUCAGUGAACAGCAGCAACCUUUAUAGUUGUUAAUGAGGAAAAAAAAAUAUCUUGGCAUGUCUGGUAUUUAUUACACAAAAAGGAUUAAUACAAGCAGACAAAGGUCAUUCUGGGUUUUCGACCCUCUCGGAACAAGAGCACAGACCUCGAAAUUCUAAAAUUGUUAAAAGUUGAGGCGUCCAGAAAAAGGAAAAUUUCUAUAACAGCCCUGGAUCACCAGAUUCUUACUUAGUUUCACUUGAGUUAACGGCGAUCCUCUUGCCUCUUAAAUUAUUCUCGAGCGUCUCUGUAAAAUAAGAGAAAUGAGAAUUACAACAACAUGCUUCAUAGGGAAACUACAAACAUGAAGAAUCAAACUAAUAUCGACUGUAAGAACUCAAUGAUAUGGACUGAAUAGUAUUAUGAUAGUUCUUAAUCGAUAUUAAUGAUUGAAUUCUUAUCUUAUCUUUUCGAUACCUUACUUUUAAAAUUCAGCUUACUCAUAAGUUUUGAAAAUCUUCAAUUGUCAAGUUCUGAAAAUCUAAGCUAAAGGCUUGCCCGCACGAGCGGGCCUGAUCGGCGGACCUCCUCUCUAACAGGCGCACUUAACGGGCAAACCGUCAAAUUGCCCGAUGGGUCUUAUAGCAAAAUCACCAUGAUGGUUCCCGAUGGCUUGAGCUUCGACCUUGGCAGACGUACGUUAACCAUAUAAAUUUCUUUUACUGAGCCAUUCUUUGUACCAUAUUUUCUUCUUUUUCAUCACACUAAGCAAUUAUCAACCUACACCAUCUUCUUUGCGGUAGGCACCAUGUUUAUCGUACCGCACUGAACACACUUCUGGCUUCGUCGGACACGCCCACCUCUCCAACGCCUCACCCGUGUGGACAACAUUCAUGGGUAAGCCCGAAAAUAACCGCCAGAAUUUGCCCUUCAACCCCGGAGCACGCCGAUCAGGCCCGCUCGUGUGGACAGGCCUUCAGUCUCAUAAGUUGUCAAACUGUUACAAAGUAGAUUGUGAAACGACAGUUUAUAAAGAAUCUGAAUUAGUUUGCAACUACUAAAUACGUACGAAAUGGCAAGUACAAAUUUAAAAUUAAGACAAAGACUAUAAUGAAAAAUUAAAAGUUGCUGUAAGAGAAUUUUAACCUGGUUUAGAAAAAAUAUAGGUGCAAAAUUACUAAUUACCCUAGUUUAGUAUACGUAUGUGCUAAAUUAGUUUUUUUUUUUAACACCCACUAAAUUCUGUAGCUCAGAUCGAAGGAUAUUUUAUAGAGCGAAUGGAAGUAAAUAGUGGCAACAGUUAACGCUAUAUUCUAGGUGGUUUUAUUUUACAUAUUACAAAACUAAAUUUUUACUCAAAAAAGCAAAAUUAAACUUAAGAGCUCGAAGCAUGCGAUAUGUAAAGCAAUAUUCAGAAAAAUGAUCAACGUUUUCUACAAUCAUUCAAUGAGUGACAGCUUUUUAAGGCAAUUUUAAUUAUUAUUUAACCUGCGCGUGCUUCUUUAUUACUAACUACCAAUCUUUACUGGUAAAUGUUUAGUGAUUACAACACUUACGAACCCAUACUUAGAUAUUUUAUAGAUAAUGACUAGUCGAGUUAUUUCUAAAGGAAGAGGUGCAAUAUUCUGAAAAGCAGAGCGUGAGCGUUUUGCGCAAAAAAUAAAAUAAAAUAAAAUAAAACAAAAUUAAAUUUUAAAUAAAAAUAAAUUAGAUAAAAUAUAAAUAAAAAUAAAUUAAAUAAAUAAAAAAUAAAAAAUACGUACAGAAAGAAGAAAGAAGAGUUCUUAAUAGUAGGAAAAUAUGGAGAGCAAAAUUCCCAGAGGAGAGCAGCUGCCAUAAUAUAUUAACCAGUCUGUAACAGAAAUCCCAUUCGGAAAAAGAAGGGAUGGGGAAUGCUGCAGAAACAGCUGGUUUUCAUGCCAAAAUAGAAAAUGAAAAAUUUCUGAGAGAGAGAGAGAGAGAGAGAGAGAAUCAGUCCCUAGCAUUUCAAAUACGAGUGGAUAUUAGGUAAUAGGCAAUACUAAUACCUGACAUUAAGUUAAGCUUGCGUGCGUUCUAUUAGUAAAAUAGCAGCUAUAGUACACUGCUUUUUCACGCUUAAGAGAUUAAGUGGUGCAUUACCAUGCUUAAUUCAUGCAAAGGUGUGACAAUAUGCAAAAUAAUGUACAUCCGUAUAGUGUUUUAGGUAAGUUUACAGUAAGUUUGCAGCAAAAUAGGAAAACUACUUAGGCCAAUCUUCAAUAGAUAAGAUAGGCUUGCAUAACCACAAAACAAGAACUG
Long non-coding RNA from Macrobrachium nipponense, 3266 nucleotides. RefSeq lists it as uncharacterized. The transcript is spliced from 4 exons. NCBI's taxonomy places the organism in Eukaryota, Metazoa, Arthropoda, Malacostraca, Decapoda, Palaemonidae. The record is from RefSeq and is a predicted model, not a curated record.